CAAGUGACCAUAGGUGUGUGAGUU
Molecule: non-coding RNA, 24 nt
Filed under: Mus musculus (house mouse)
Lineage: Eukaryota; Metazoa; Chordata; Mammalia; Rodentia; Muridae
Source: RNAcentral